Ribosomal RNA from Bison bison bison, 120 nucleotides. The record is from Ensembl. NCBI's taxonomy places the organism in Eukaryota, Metazoa, Chordata, Mammalia, Artiodactyla, Bovidae.
AUCUAGGGCCAUAGCACCAUGAAGGCCCCUGGUAAUUUCUGAGCUCAGAAGCUAAAGCAAGGUUGAGCCUGAUUAGUACUUGGUUGCAAGACCAGCUGGAAAGACCAGGUGCUGUGGACU